AGAAGUGGGCACUAAUGAAAAAUGAACAAGCAAACAAACAAAAAAACCCUCAUGUUUGGAAGUCCCGCUACUGGACAGAGAGAGACGUGACCAGAUGCCGCCGUCACAGGGAUUUAGCAGUGCUGUUACUUACACGGGAACAAAUGUCUAAUUUUAUAACGAGGAGAUCAAAAGAGUCAUGCAAAAAGCUUGGUCUAAAACAUUUUCCUGCACACAAUGAAACCUUCUGCUAACUCCAACCACAAUGCGUUUUCCUAUCAAAAUACCACUAGGUGGCAUAGUAUUAAAAUUAAUUCUUAAUAUAAGUUAUUUUUUUAAAAAAUGGAUAAAUCUCUGGACUUUGGACAAAAUAAAUCAAACUCUGGGAUACCAAAAAAUAAUAAUAGAAAUAAAAAUAAAUUGUUAAAAAGCUUUUGAAUAGCCGACACAGUCAAUAGAACAAGUGUCACUAGAUGUCAGCCGAGGAGACCUUAUGUCUUGUCCAGUGAAAUGCUUAACGUUAAGGGUUUGUUUUGAAUAUAUGUUUUCAAAUGUGGGAAGAAGUUUAAAAACACUGUUCCCAUACAGAAGCUUUUGCACAUACUUUAAAGGUUGGGCAAGCCAAACUAACAGUAUGAAAGCCCGUGACGUGGGGCUGGGGUAAUAGACCACGUGGUCAGAGGGUCAGUGUAUUACUGUUACUCCAUCCCUCGAGCCAGUCAAGAAGGGUUUCCUUGAGACAUAUUAUGAAUUACGGCAGAGAAAAGAAAGCUGGGCCUGAUAACGUAUGCCUGUAACUCCAGGACGGCAAAGUCUGAGGCAGGAGAAUCGUUGUGAGGCAAGCCUGCACUACAUACUUGCACACCAAGCCAACCAAGUUAAACAGAGAGGGACAGCAGGGAGGGCGCGUGUCUCUUGUGGUCUUACAAGCCCGCAGUUGAUGGAAAUGCCCUCUUUUGCCCUCUCGCCUGUAGCUCCGGUUCUCUUCAACCUUUCCGAUCCUGCCAGGUCAACGAAGUGAAACUUCGCGGUCAGCGUUUCAAACUCAUUCAUCUGCGGGGAUUCGGACACCAUCUUAUUAUCGGUUACGUUCUCCUGUGACGGCGGGAGAUAAUCAAAAAUGCCUCCUUAGCGCGACAUCAAACACACCGUCACCUUGUCCCCACCCGCUCCCUUUCUCAGCUGGAGAAGCAUUCGAGUAGCCAGGAAAACAUAAAUGGCAACGUCGGAGAAAAAGUUGGGAAGGCAAAAUCCAGCCGCACAGAAAGGAGGGCUCUGCUGAUAAAGGGAAAUAUACCAACAGCCCUCACCACACAGAGCCAAAGGACGGCACCUCCCCUUUGUCAUAACAAACAGAUACUCGGUAUUUCUGUUUGUUCCCCCAAAGUCUUACACAAUUGGCCAGUUAUAGAUAGAUAGAUAGAUAGAUAGAUAGAUAGAUAGAUAGAUAGAUAGAUAGAUACAUGGAUACAUAGAUACAUAGAUACAUAGAUAGAUACAUAGAUAGAUACAUAGAUACAUAGAUAGAUACAUAGAUAGAUACAUAGAUAGAUACAUAGAUAGAUACAUAGAUACAUAGAUAGAUAGGAAGGAAACUAAGAGAAAGAAAAAUAAAUAAAAAUAAAAUUGGACCAAACGCCUCUCCAAAGAUGGGGAGGAUUCAAGGAUCUAAAGGCUGAAAGGCUAAGAAACAAGGAAACGGAACUCACAGCGUCUGUUUGGGGACACACCCUGGUUUGACACACGUGAAUGGUAAAAAUGGCAUGGGAGCGCGAGCUCUGCACAUUCAUCUGGGUACUCGCCGUGGUGCGCGAGAGAGCGCCCAGCUUCAGACACUGCAUCAUCUGCAACGGGGAAGAAAGGCUUCACUGGACGACACUCACACAGGCCCCCGCCAACCUUCUGUCUGAGCUGACGGCUAAAACCCUCUGUGCUGAACGACAUAAUGGAAGACCUCUCAUCCUGUCGGUUUUUUUUGUUACAGGCGCAUUUGAGCCGAACUUCCCGGCAUAAUGGCGCAUUCUUCUUUGACUGGGGGAAAACACUAAGUUCCAUUGUCCGUCCUAUGCUGACAUCUGCGGCUUCCAUUCCAAACUGUUACAGUAGAACGCUUAGGGUAGGGACAACCCCACAAUAAUCUGGAUUAGUUAGGCUACCCUGUUUAAGCUUUCUCUUCUCAUUUUUUUUUUAGAUUUUUUUUCUCAAAUGUUUCCCUAUAAAAGCCAAGAUGCGACCCUGUUAGCAUCCGCAUCACAUUAAGUUUGUGUUGGCGUUAAUUCAUGUCAGCAUGUAGACAUCCGCCAUGGUGCGCGUGUAGGAUCAGAAAGCAACAUUUGGAAGUUUGGGGAUUGGUUUUCCUUCCAUCAUGUGAAUUCUAAAAAAAUGGAAGACUGGGCACCAGGUACCUUACACAACCAUCUUGCUAGGACUCCCACGCUUUUAUAAUGGUGUUCUUCUAUAAAGGCAGACGAGAUUUUUAAAUCCGUCGCCCUGAAGGAAAGCCAUCCUAUGUAUUUAAUCUUGAGGGUACUAUCAGUAAUGACAGUUUCGAAAGCCACCUAUACUUUAUAUUUUAACGGCGCAGUCACCUCUGGUUCUGUAUUCACAGUGCGUGUUGUGACUCCCACAGUAUAAAUCCCGCCAGUCGAAUCUUCGUGAAUUCUUAUAUUUGACUUUUUAUUUUUUGCAUCAAUAUCCCGGGUGGUGUCAAACAAGUCAAGGACCUCUUCAUUAUAGAGCUGAGGGGAAGACACAUUAAACGGUUAACGCUAUCGAAGGGGUUGUGCACAGCAUCUUCAAUAUGCUCAACAGCCUCAGAAUGACAGCUCUCCCUUCAGACUGCUAUAAGUUACCGUAUCAUCAUAAAUCUAUGAAUACUGAAGUGAAUGUCAGAUUUAGCUACAAGAAUAAAGAGGAAGUGACUUCAUCAUGACAAAUAACCCAGGCACAAAAGCUAAGAUGACCUACGACCACUUCACGAGACAGAAGCAAAGGCAAAUUAGCAAACGUGGACCAGUAUGUCUUAGAUGCAGGCAGAGCCAAAGGUUAGGGCAGAGGAACUUUCUAUCCUAGCAGGAGGUUAGGGGUGGGGUAUUCGGUGUGGGGUCUCACUAGAGGUAGCCCCGGCUGCCUGAGACUCUCUGUAGAUCAGGCUGUCCUUGGAGGGUGGGGUGUGUCACUGAGUAGCCCUGGGCUGGCCUAGGACUCCCUAAGAAGACCAGGCUGUCCUUGAACUCACUGAGGCCCCUACUUCAGAUGCUGGGAUUAAAGAAAUGACUCACCACACCCAACUGAAAGGUCAGAGAUGUUAAGAAUUUUAAAAGUUUUACGAUUUCACCGCAAGACUGUAUUUCUAUUUCCUUAUACUUAUCCCGUUCAGUGUGUUUCCACUUACUAAUUCCUUUCUCAUUCAUUAAUGUAAAAAAAGAUAGGUUUUAUUGGGACAUUUCACACACACACACACACACACACACACACACACACACACAAUGUAGUUCAGGUAAAUAUUCACCUGCUUUUUCCUUCCCUAGUUCCUUCCUCUCUUCCUCUACCCUUUUUAUUUCUUUUGGUUUUUGGUUUUUGUUGUUUUUUAUUUGUUGGGCUUUUUUGUUUGUUUGUUUGUUUUUUGUUUAACAAAUACAAAAGAAC
This is a non-coding RNA of Rattus norvegicus (Norway rat), 3627 nucleotides long. NCBI's taxonomy places the organism in Eukaryota, Metazoa, Chordata, Mammalia, Rodentia, Muridae. The record is from RefSeq and is a predicted model, not a curated record.